GGCAGCGGCGGCUUAUACAUGCAAGUCGAACGGUAACAUGAGAGCUUGCUCUUGAUGACGAGUGGCGAACGGGUGCGUAACGCGUAUAUAACUUGCCUACUACAGGAGGAUAGCCCAGAGAAAUUUGGAUUAAUACUCCAUGGUACUUUUGGAUGGCAUCAUCUGAUAGUUAAAGAAUUUCGGUAGUAGAUAGGUAUGCGUCUGAUUAGCUUGUUGGUGAGGUAAGGGCUCACCAAGGCAAUGAUCAGUAGGGGUUCUGAGAGGAAGGUCCCCCACACUGGCACUGAGAUACGGGCCAGACUCCUACGGGAGGCAGCAGUAGGGAAUAUUGGGCAAUGGAGGCAACUCUGACCCAGCCAUGCCGCGUGUAGGAAGAAGGCGUUCUGCGUUGUAAACUACUUUUAUAUGGGAAGAAUAUGAUUAUGCGUAAUCAAAUGCCUGUACCAUACGAAUAAGCACCGGCUAACUCCGUGCCAGCAGCCGCGGUAAUACGGAGGGUGCAAGCGUUAUCCGGAAUUAUUGGGUUUAAAGGGCGUGUAGGCGGACAAUUAAGUCGGAGGUGAAAUAUCAUAGCUUAACUAUGGUGCUGCCUUUGAUACUGGUUGUCUUGAGUUCUGUAGAGGUAGGCGGAAUUUAUAAUGUAGCGGUGAAAUGCAUAGAUAUUAUAAAGAACUCCGAUUGCGAAGGCAGCUUACUGGACAGAAACUGACGCUGAUGCACGAAAGUGUGGGUAGCGAACAGGAUUAGAUACCCUGGUAGUCCACACCGUAAACGAUGAUCACUCGCUGUUGGCGAUACACAGUCAGCGGCUUAGCGAAAGCGUUAAGUGAUCCACCUGGGGAGUACGAUGGCAACAUUGAAACUCAAAGGAAUUGA
This 876-nucleotide ribosomal RNA is filed under the name uncultured Bacteroidota bacterium. RNAcentral's name for it is "bacterial SSU rRNA". It matches the Rfam family "Bacterial small subunit ribosomal RNA", at positions 38 to 913 of the family's 1533-position model. The record is from RNAcentral. Lineage: Bacteria; Pseudomonadati; Bacteroidota.